RNAcentral lists this ribosomal RNA (301 nucleotides) under uncultured bacterium. RNAcentral describes it as "partial 16S ribosomal RNA". It matches the Rfam family "Bacterial small subunit ribosomal RNA", at positions 509 to 807 of the family's 1533-position model. The record is from RNAcentral.
CAGUCGCCGCGGUAAUACGGAGGAUCCAAGCGUUAUCCGGAAUCAUUGGGUUUAAAGGGUCCGUAGGCGGUCUUGUAAGUCAGUGGUGAAAGCCCAUCGCUCAACGGUGGAACGGCCAUUGAUACUGCAGGACUUGAAUUAUUGGGAAGUAACUAGAAUAUGUAGUGUAGCGGUGAAAUGCUUAGAGAUUACAUGGAAUACCAAUUGCGAAGGCAGGUUACUACCAAUUGAUUGACGCUGAUGGACGAAAGCGUGGGUAGCGAACAGGAUUAGAGACCCCGGUAGUCCCUGUCUCUUAUAC